Long non-coding RNA from Haliotis rubra (blacklip abalone), 163 nucleotides. RefSeq lists it as uncharacterized. The transcript is spliced from 3 exons. Lineage: Eukaryota; Metazoa; Mollusca; Gastropoda; Lepetellida; Haliotidae. The record is from RefSeq and is a predicted model, not a curated record.
UCUGAACAAAUUUACAAUGGCAGUGUAUGCGAAAUAAGCCAAAAUUUCAGCCAGUCAUCAGGAAUAGUAACUUGAAAAUGUUACCAGCCUAAACUGGAUUUAACCAGACCAGACAAUUCAAAGAAAAUAGCUCAAUUUUUAGUUACAAUGAAUAAUUUAAUGA